CUUGAAGAUUGUAAAGAUACUGUCAUCACUCAGAGCUGUGCAGGAAGGAAAGUUAGUGCAUGCAUUUGUCAGAGCUCAGCUGAGGUUGAAUGAAGUGAGACAGAGCAUGCCUGUAUUUUGCUGUAUGCAGCCUCCAAGUCCUGAUGUAGCCUUUAAAUACAAGCCUUGCUUUAACUUUUUGUCUAGAGUUCCUGCCUGUGCAGGAAGGGAUUGGCUGCAGCCAGCCAAUGUGCCCAGGCAAUGCUCUGGUCAUGAAAAGAGCUGAUAAUUCAUUGAAUCCAUGUCUGCUGGGAUGCCCAGGACUGGAUUUCUGCCUUGCAUCCAGCUCAGACCCUCUAACUCUGCAAGUGUUCCCAGGCUUUGGAAGAAUGAAUGACUGCUGGAGUGAGUUACAGCCCAUGUGGAUCCUAGAAAACACACUCCUACCACAGGCUACUCCAAGGAUUCCCAAGCUCAGCCCCAGCCAGGCUCCACCCAGACACCAGCAAAAGAAACCUGAUGUAAACAGAAGGUCUCAUCACUUACCUCCCAUCAUCCCAGCUCACUCUCCAGAUUCCACUGAGCAAAUAAGGUCCAGCAGGAAGAUACUGAUGGCUUUAUCAGUAUGAAAUACUCACAAUGCAUCACCUGCAUGCUUAGGAGUGUAAUGCUGACAAUAAAUAUGAUAAUAGUUGUCA
Molecule: long non-coding RNA, 677 nt
Filed under: Junco hyemalis (dark-eyed junco)
Lineage: Eukaryota; Metazoa; Chordata; Aves; Passeriformes; Passerellidae
Description: lncRNA (ENSJHYG00000012245.1)
Source: RNAcentral